RNAcentral lists this unclassified non-coding RNA (180 nucleotides) under uncultured fungus. RNAcentral's name for it is "sequence contains ITS1, 5.8S rRNA gene". The record is from RNAcentral. RNAcentral also lists the same sequence under 1 other name. Lineage: Eukaryota; Fungi.
AAGAGUAAGGGUGCUCGCCGCCCGACCUCCAACCCUCUGUUGUUAAAACUACCUUGUUGCUUUGGCGGGACCGCUCGGUCUCGAGCCGCAGGGGCUUCGGCCCAGGCGAGCGCCCGCCAGAGUUAAACCAAACUCUUGUUUAUAUAACCGGUCGUCUGAGCAAAAAUUUUGAAUAAAUCA